AAUGAAGAACGCAGCGAAAUGCGAUAAGUAAUGUGAAUUGCAGAAUUCAGUGAAUCAUCGAAUCUUUGAACGCACAUUGCGCCCGCCAGUAUUCUGGCGGGCAUGCCUGUUCGAGCGUCAUUUCAACCAUCAAGCCCCCGGCUUGUGUUGGGGACCUGCGGCUGCCGCAGGCCCUGAAAAGCAGUGGCGGGCUCGCUGUCACACCGAGCGUAGUAGCAUACAUCUCGCUCUGGGCGUGCUGCGGGUUCCGGCCGUUAAACCACCUUCAUAACCCAAGGUUGACCUCGGAUCAGGUAGGAAGACCCGCUGAACUUAAGCAUAUCAAUAAGCGGAGGA
This 336-nucleotide unclassified non-coding RNA is filed under the name soil metagenome. Its description in RNAcentral is "partial contains 5.8S ribosomal RNA, internal transcribed spacer 2, and large subunit ribosomal RNA". The stretch from base 2 to 120 matches the Rfam family "5.8S ribosomal RNA", at positions 36 to 154 of the family's 154-position model. The record is from RNAcentral.